This 927-nucleotide long non-coding RNA is filed under the name Carassius auratus (goldfish). Its description in RNAcentral is "lncRNA (ENSCARG00000025696.1)". The record is from RNAcentral. Lineage: Eukaryota; Metazoa; Chordata; Actinopteri; Cypriniformes; Cyprinidae.
UUGGUAUGUUUUUCAUUUUUAUUUUUAAAUAUGUAAUGAUACGUUUUAUUGAUUUUUAUUUUUAAUUGUAAUUAUUUUAAUACUUUAAAAGAAAAUAAAAAAGUUGCCCUGCUAAUGAAAUCCCCCUUUUAAAAAUAUUUUAUUUGUUUACGUUAAAGUUUAGCUUAUGUUGAGAAACAGAAAUGUUAAAUGGUUAAGUUUUAGUGAGUCCUCCCCCUGUUCCUCUUUGCUCACUUGUGUGCAUUAGUAAAAGUGAAGAGUGAAAGUGAAAAGAAAUGGCGGGAACGCGGGCGUGGGGGGUGGGCUCAUGGGGGCAGGGGCCGCACUGGGGUCCGAGGCGACAGAAAAGAAGAGCGACAGCGCGUAAAGAAAGGACGCGAGGUGGCCUCUUCUGCGAUGACAUCAUCCCUCAUUUGCAUAAAUCUCCGCCUGAAUUGAAAGCUCAUUGGUCACAGGCGAGAGAGACCGAAGCUGCUCUCGCUUUUCAUCCUUUUCAAUGCCCCUCCCGCGACCGCAUAGUGUGCGCGUGCGUGCGUGCGCGGACCGUCGAGCGCCGUUCCAUUCUCUGCUGCCAGGAGACGCGCAUCGCUUUUAUCGCCGGUAGACAGUCAGUCAGCUCCAAACGGCCUUUGUCAGAGCUACUGAUUUUUAUCUCAACAUUUGUUGCCGGUUGUUCUCGACUCGCAGUGCUGUCCUCCGAUUCCACUUGGAAAAAGAAAGAAAGAAAUAAAAAAUCGUGGAAGACGCGAGUACCGACUGGGCGUUGCUGGAGGAAAAGCGCUAGACUCGGUGGCAUGGCAUGCUGGCUGGGGCCCGUAUCUGGCCCGUGUCCUGUGUGCAUCCCAUUCUGUGGGUGUCCAUCGGAGGAUCGCCCAGGAUUAGCAUCAUGCUUUGUCCAGAGUUAACAAGCUCUGUCAUGUGUUAAUC